AGUGGAUGGGGAGCAACCUAGUUGUGCGUGUGUAAAGGUAGUGCCAAGAAAAGCGAUGAUCAUGUUGAAAAUCAAUUCCCGGUACCCGAAACCGACACAGGUGGGCAAGUAGAGAAUACUAAGGGGCGCGAGGUAACUCUCUCCUAGGAACUCGGCAAAAUGACCCCGUAACUUAGGGAGAAGGGGUGCCACCGAGAGGUGGUCGCAGUGAAGAGGCCCAGGCGACUGUUUAGCAAAAACAUAGGUCUCUGCAAACUCGAAAGAGGAGGUAUAGGGGCUGACGCCUGCCCAGUGCCGGAAGGUUAAAGAAGUUGGUCAGUUUUAGGAUGAAGCUAGCGACUGAAGCCCCGGUGAACGGCGGCCGUAACUAUAACGGUCCUAAGGUAGCGAAAUUCCUUGUCGGGUAAGUUCCGACCCGCACGAAAGGCGUAACGAUCUGGGCGCUGUCUCGGAGAGAGGCUCGGCGAAAUAGGAUUGUCUGUGAAGAUACGGACUACCUGCAUUUGGACAGAAAGACCCUAUGAAGCUUUACUAUAGCUUGGAAUUGUGUUCGGGCUUCCUGUGCGCAGGAUAGGUGGGAGGCGUAGAAGGUAUUCUUGUGGGGAUACUGGAGCCAACGGUGAGAUACCACUCUCAGGAGGCUAGAAUUCUAACUUAAUUAAGGACAGUUUCAGGUGGGUAGUUUGACUGGGGCGGUCGCCUCCAAAAAGGUAACGGAGGCGUACAAAGGUUCCCUCAGACUGGUUGGAAAUCAGUCGAAGAGUGCAAAGGCAGAAGGGAGCUUGACUGCGAGAAGUACAGUUCGAGCAGGGUGGAAACACGGUCUUAGUGAUCCGACGGUGCUGUGUGGAAGGGCCGUCGCUCAACGGAUAAAAGUUACUCUAGGAUAACAGGCUGAUCUCCCCCAAGAGUUCACAUCGACGGGGAGGUUUGGCACCUCGAUGUCGGCUCAUCGCAACCUGGGGCGGAAGUACGUCCCAAGGGUUGGGCUGUUCGCCCAUUAAAGCGGUACGUGAGCUGGGUUCAGAACGUCGUGAGACAGUUCGGUCCAUAUCCGAUGUAGGCGUGAGAAUAUUGAGAGGAGCCUUCCUUAGUACGAGAGGACCGGGAAGGACGCACCGCUGGUGUACCUGUUAUGAUGCCAAUUGUAAACGCAGGGUAGCCAAGUGCGGAGAGGAUAACCGCUGAAAGCAUCUAAGUGGGAAGCCCACCUCAAGAUGAGUAUUCUGGUGUAAGGUCACGGGAAGACGACCCGUAAAUAGGCACGAGGUGGAAGUGCAGAGAUGUAUGAAGCCGAAGUGUACUAAUAGACCGUCGGCUUGACC
Molecule: ribosomal RNA, 1325 nt
Filed under: metagenome
Description: bacterial LSU rRNA
Rfam family: Bacterial large subunit ribosomal RNA
Source: RNAcentral